RNAcentral lists this ribosomal RNA (555 nucleotides) under uncultured bacterium. RNAcentral describes it as "partial 16S ribosomal RNA". It matches the Rfam family "Bacterial small subunit ribosomal RNA", at positions 355 to 900 of the family's 1533-position model. The record is from RNAcentral.
UGGGGAAUCUUCGGCAAUGGGGGCAACCCUGACCGAGCAACGCCGCGUGAGUGAAGAAGGUUUUCGGAUCGUAAAGCUCUGUUGUAAGUCAAGAACGGGUGUGAGAGUGGAAAGUUCACACUGUGACGGUAGCUUACCAGAAAGGGACGGCUAACUACGUGCCAGCAGCCGCGGUAAUACGUAGGUCCCGAGCGUUGUCCGGAUUUAUUGGGCGUAAAGCGAGCGCAGGCGGUUUGAUAAGUCUGAAGUUAAAGGCUGUGGCUCAACCAUAGUUCGCUUUGGAAACUGUCAAACUUGAGUGCAGAAGGGGAGAGUGGAAUUCCAUGUGUAGCGGUGAAAUGCGUAGAUAUAUGGAGGAACACCGGUGGCGAAAGCGGCUCUCUGGUCUGUAACUGACGCUGAGGCUCGAAAGCGUGGGGAGCGAACAGGAUUAGAUACCCUGGUAGUCCACGCCGUAAACGAUGAGUGCUAGGUGUUGGAUCCUUUCCGGGAUUCAGUGCCGCAGCUAACGCAUUAAGCACUCCGCCUGGGGGAGUACGACCGCAAGGUUGAAAC